ACGUGGAAGCGGAGACGGGGAGGUCUGGGGGUGCCACGCAAGUCCCUUUCCUCCCGACACGAGUGCAGUAAAGAAAAACGGUUAUGAGCGUAAAGUGACAGCCUCGGCCGAUGGGAAUAGGGGGAAGUCCGACACUGAGCAACGAACGCAUUCCCGCGCCUCCAAAACCUAGGCCGGGGGCGCUGGAAACCCUUACCGGCACCCGGCCACCGCGGCAGACGCUUGCUCCUGCCACGCCCCCCCCCCCUCCCCCGCAUCACGUGUCUGCACUCGCUUUCCUCGGAUUCCCGGAUGUGGUUGCCAAAACAAAGGGGAUUUGGUGAUGGAGGCUUUGUUAGAAGGAAUACAAAAUCGAGGGCAUGGUGGGGGAUUUUUGACAUCUUGUGAAGCAGAACUACAGGAGCUCAUGAAACAGAUUGACAUAAUGGUGGCUCAUAAAAAAUCUGAAUGGGAAGGACGUACACAUGCUCUAGAAACUUGCUUGAAAAUCCGUGAACAGGAACUUAAGAGUCUUAGGAGUCAGUUGGAUGUGACACAUAAGGAGGUUGGAAUGUUGCAUCAGCAGGUAGAAGAACAUGAAAAAAUCAAGCAAGAGAUGACCAUGGAAUAUAAGCAGGAGUUGAAGAAACUACAUGAAGAAGAAUUCCGUCAGAAAUCGCUGGACUGGGAGAAGCAACGCUUGAUUUAUCAGCAACAGGUAUCUUCACUGGAGGCACAAAGGAAGGCUCUGGCUGAACAAUCAGAGAUAAUUCAGGCUCAGCUUGUCAAUCGGAAACAGAAAUUAGAGUCUGUGGAACUUUCUAGCCAAUCAGAAAUUCAACACUUAAGCAGUAAACUGGAGCGGGCUAAUGACACUAUCUGUGCCAAUGAGUUGGAAAUAGAGCGCCUCACCAUGAGGGUCAAUGACUUGGUUGGAACCAGUAUGACUGUCCUACAGGAGCAGCAGCAAAAAGAAGAAAAAUUGAGGGAAUCUGAAAAACUAUUAGAGGCUCUGCAGGAAGAAAAGAGAGAAUUGAAGGCAGCUCUUCAGUCUCAAGAAAAUCUCAUACAUGAGGCCAGAAUACAAAAGGAGAAGUUACAAGAAAAAGUAAAGGCAACUAACACUCAACAUGCUGUAGAAGCUAUAAGUUUGGAAUCUGUGAGUGCAACGUGUAAACAGCUGAGCCAAGAACUAAUGGAAAAAUAUGAAGAACUGAAGAGGAUGGAAGCACAUAACAAUGAAUACAAAGCAGAGAUUAAGAAGUUGAAAGAACAGAUUUUACAGGGUGAACAAAGUUACAGUUCUGCACUAGAAGGAAUGAAGAUGGAAAUCUCCCAUCUAACUCAGGAGUUACAUCAGCGAGAUAUCACUAUUGCUUCCACCAAAGGUUCUUCCUCAGACAUGGAAAAGCGACUCAGAGCAGAGAUGCAAAAGGCAGAAGACAAAGCAGUAGAGCAUAAGGAGAUUUUGGAUCAGCUGGAGUCACUCAAAUUAGAAAAUCGUCAUCUUUCUGAAAUGGUGAUGAAAUUGGAAUUGGGUUUACAUGAGGUAUUGCCUCCAGCACACUGUUUACAUUCCUACUGUGUCUCAGCAUCUGUUCUCCUGGGAAUAGAACUGGUCCACCUGAACAUAUGAUCUGUGCUGCUGUUGGUGCAGGAGGACAGGAGGGAAAUAAGCUGGAAGCCAUGGAUGUGGAGAGUCUGGCUUCAAGAUGGAGCUUGUUUACCUGCAGGUAGGGCUCCACCUCUGCACCCCAUUGAGUCCCCCGCCUGGCUGUGGUACGAAGAGCCACCCUGCAUACCCUCACCCAGUAGUGAAGUAGGCCGAGGCAGCCAGUGUGGGGUCCAGCGAGUGACAUGCAUCAUCGAAGGUGCUUAUUAUUUUGAUGAAACACAAUACAUUUCUUUCAGCCCGUAAAAUCAAAGGUGUGCAAAAAGGCUGUUUUCAGGGUGUAAAACACCCCUCGUUUCCCUGUGGUGGUGCAUAACUAUUAUGCCUCUGGGGCCUUUGUGCAUUUUUCGGGCAUGAGUGACACGAGGCUGACUGGGUGGCCUUGGCACCUUGUCUCUUUAGAGAAAAAGGAGACAGUGCUUCUUUCCGAUUCCCUAUAAAAACCAGUUUUUUGUUGAAGACCUGCCUUUCCCGCUAGUGCCUAAUACCAAUUAUGUCUUUCCAGAGAUGGUGAGAUUGUUCUGAAAGGAUUUCUUGGAAACCUUGUCUUAACAACCCUAUCGUCCUAGUGUGAUAAGAAUAUAUGAAUGGGAGGCCAUUGUGGACAGUAAUAGGGCCGGGAGGCUUCAUCUCCCCAUGGAAAGUAUAAGACACAAACAGUAUAGCUGAGAUCAUGAGGACCUGGUUUGUAGCAGGUCGUGGGAAAGGAGAGAAGGUGGAGUUGGGAGAGCAGGUGGGAGGUGAGACACAUCCAGAAGGGACUGGGUUUCAUCACCAGUGACUGCCAUGAGUCUAACUUAGUUAUCUGGUUGGAUAGGGAUGCAUUUACUGAACUGGGGACCCAGGAGGAGUUGGGAGUAAUUUGAGGGAGAGAAGUAACUCCAGUUUAGCAUCUUUUGACUCGGAGAUGCCUGUGGGACACCCCAAAGAGGACAUCCCCGUUAACUUUCAGUUUCCUUUAGUUCUGCUUGCAAAAUCAGACAGAACCAGCAUCCUGUCAGAGGCUGUUCUUCCCCUUUGGUCCCUCUGCUGGGCUUUCUCCAGCCCCUUGCCCUCAGGCAAGAGAGGAGCCAGCAGUGCAGUCUGCCAGGGGCUCCAGGGGCAGGCUCUUAACACAGCAGGGCCCUUCAGAUGUUCCACAGCAGGGCCCUUCAGAUGUUCUGUAACUGACAACCCCAGGCCCACUGCCUGCCAGCAUCUGUUCACAGAGACACGGCAUCACAAACUCUCCGGACUGGAAGGGACAUUGGAGGUCAUCCACUCCAGCUUUGGGGAUGGCAUUUUCAGACUGUUCUAAUAACUCAAGAGCUACUCCUUCUUUUGUGUGGAAGACUGUUUCUUCUGACUUCCUCUUAAUAUGCUGCCGGGUCUCCUUCCUAAGGAGAAGCAUGCUGGGCCUCGUUUUUGUGGAUCUAGCAGCGAGAGACAUGACGAAGCCAGAUUUGGGAACACAAGUUCUUUUUGUCCUUCACACUACAGCUACGAGAAUGGUCUCCAUGGUUACAGCAGCUUCUCAGAAAUGUCUGGAUUUUUCAUUUUCUGUAUUUCUCUAAAUGUCUAGUUUAUGAAUAAUCUGCUUAGGUGACCGGCUGGAAAGUUUCUGCAUGUAUAUGAAUAUCAAGAAGUACAUAUUUAUAUACAUUCAAAAGAAAAGUAGGCUGAUAGGCAUUUUUGGUAAUUUUUUUUCUCCCACUGUAAAAAU
Molecule: long non-coding RNA, 3353 nt
Organism: Homo sapiens (human)
Lineage: Eukaryota; Metazoa; Chordata; Mammalia; Primates; Hominidae
Source: Ensembl